UACGUAGGGGGCAAGCGUUGUCCGGAAUUAUUGGGCAUAAAGAGCGUGUAGGCGGUCCGGUAAGUCAGCUGUGAAAGUCAAGGGCUCAACCCUUGAAAGCCGGUUGAUACUGUCGGGCUAGAGUCCGGAAGAGGCGAGUGGAAUUCCCGGUGUAGCGGUGAAAUGCGCAGAUAUCAGGAGGAACACCGGUGGCGAAGGCGGUUCUCUGGGCAUUACCUGACGCUGAGGAGCGAAAGUGUGGGGGGCGAACAGG
RNAcentral lists this ribosomal RNA (253 nucleotides) under uncultured bacterium. RNAcentral's name for it is "partial 16S ribosomal RNA". It matches the Rfam family "Bacterial small subunit ribosomal RNA", at positions 524 to 776 of the family's 1533-position model. The record is from RNAcentral.